CCAGAUCAAUGAUGUCAUCCCAAACUUGCUGAAGAGACCAAGGAAUAAUUCCCAUCCCAUUAAACCAAUGACAAACAAUUUGGGAAUUAGUUUCAACCCAUACCUUUGAAACCCCCAAAAGAUAGCAAUAAUACAAACCCAAUUUCAAAGCCAUUGUUUCUGCCAUGGAGUUAGUGGCUACCCCAAGAGAGUGGAAAAAGCCAAAACCAAAUUUUCCUUUCCAAUCCCUAAGCACCCAACCACAGCGAGCUCUACCAGGGUUGCCACAGCUAGCACCA
RNAcentral lists this long non-coding RNA (278 nucleotides) under Olea europaea (common olive). Its description in RNAcentral is "long non-coding RNA (OEUR_LNC012396)". The record is from RNAcentral. Lineage: Eukaryota; Viridiplantae; Streptophyta; Magnoliopsida; Lamiales; Oleaceae.